Molecule: long non-coding RNA, 1058 nt
Organism: Homo sapiens (human)
Lineage: Eukaryota; Metazoa; Chordata; Mammalia; Primates; Hominidae
Gene: SRP14-DT
Product: SRP14 divergent transcript
Source: Ensembl
GCCCUGGGACGUCCGGGGGCCUGUGACCCGGAGGCGCUGGGGCUGUCCUGGGUCGUCACAUGCGAGAAAUCGUCUCACCCCAGCCAGUGUGACGGAGUGAGAGCAAAAGAAAGUUUUGAUAGCAGCGUACGAUUUAUAUUCAGCUGUAUGCUGGGCAGGUCCAACUUGGCAUUUCUUGGCUGUAUCUCUGAAGGAAAGUCAUCUUAAUCUCUAUGAGCCUCCAUUUCCUCAGCUGUAAAAUGGGAAGAUCUUCCUCACACUGCUGUGGAGAGGAAAUGGCAGCCUAACUCCAGGCAGGGCCCGGGCUCAGAAGGGGGUCUACAGGGCUGAAGAGGCAGCUGGCCAGAGAUUCCACAGGAAGCAUCUUGUUGACACAUCUUCAUCACUUUGGAAUUUGAGCAACAACAUUUACCCCUUCUGAAACUCACCCAGAGGAAGCGGAUUUUCUGACGCAUAUGAAGAGUGAGAACUGUCUACAUCUAAGUCUUCUUUGAGAACAAUACCAGCUGAGCGGCUAUUUACAUUCCAGCUUCUUUUGAGAAUCUCUGAAGAUGAUUAAGUCAUUGUCAGCUGGCCCAGAACCAUAUCCUGCUCCACAAGCCUCGUCCUUGGCAAGAAGUUGCACCUGCCCAGAGAGAAAACCUUUUGAAACUGGCACAAAGGCACUGGAGAGACUGGCAGGGCCCCCUACUUGACGAUCUGGCUCAUCCAUCUGCACACUGACCACGCUAAGAGCUGUCUGCAGUGAUGGAAACCUUCUCUAGCUGUGCUGUCCUCUAUAGUGGCACCAGCUGCCUGUGGCUACUGAGCACUUCAACUGUGGCUGCAGAGACUAUGUUAAAUUGUAUUUAAUCAUAAUUAAUUUAAUUGUAAACAACUACAUGUGGCUAGUGGUUUCUGUACUGGGCACUGCAGGUGCACAUUUCCUGCUGGCCAUGGACAGUAAGCUCCAUAAGAGACUAAUUGUGCCUGGUUUGCUUAUAGGCUUAUCCUCAGCACCUGCACCAGCCUAGAAUAUGAUUGGCACUCUAUUAAUUAAAAGUUCCCAGGUAAAUGAA